AUUGAACGCUGGCGGCAGGCCUAACACAUGCAAGUCGAACGGUAACAGGAAGACGCUUGCUUCUUUGCUGACGAGUGGCGGACGGGUGAGUAAUGUCUGGGAAACUGCCUGAUGGCGGGGGAUAACUACUGGAAACGGUAGCUAAUACCGCAUAAUGUCGCAAGACCAAAGAGGGGGACCUUCUGGCCUCUUGCCCUCGGAUGUGCCCAGAUGGGGUUAGCUAGUAGGUGGGGUAACGGCUCACCUAGGCGACGAUCCCUAGCUGGUCUGAGAGGAUGACCAGCCACACUGGAACUGAGACACGGUCCAGACUCCUACGGGAGGCAGCAGUGGGGAAUAUUGCACAAUGGGCGCAAGCCUGAUCCAGCUAUGCCGCGUGGAUGAAGAAGGCCUUCGGGUUGUAAAGUACUUUCAGCGGGGAGGAAGAGAGUAAAGUUAAUACCUUUGCUCAUUGACGUUACCCGCAGAAGAAGCACCGGCUAACUCCGUG
RNAcentral lists this ribosomal RNA (490 nucleotides) under uncultured bacterium. Its description in RNAcentral is "partial 16S ribosomal RNA". It matches the Rfam family "Bacterial small subunit ribosomal RNA", at positions 30 to 507 of the family's 1533-position model. The record is from RNAcentral.